GACGAACGCUGGCGGCGUGCCUAAUACAUGCAAGUCGAACGCAGUGGGGACGGGUGAGUAACAAGUGGGUAACCUCCCAUCAGAGGGGAUAACACUUGGAAAAAGGUGCUAAACCGAUACUGAUGGAUGGCCUCGCGGUUCAUUAGCUAGUUGGGGCGGUAACGGCGCACAAAGGCCACGAUGCGUAGCCGGGCUGAGAGGGUGAUCAGCCACACGGGAACUGAGACACGGCCCAGACUCCUACGGGAGGCAGCAGUAGGGAAUAUUGGACAAUGGACGAAAGUCUGACCGAGCAACGCCGCGUGAGUGAAGAAGGUUUUCGGAUCGUAAAGCUCUGUUGUUAGGGAAGCGGUAUCUAACCAGAAAGCCACGGCUAACUACGUGCCAGCAGCCGCGGUAAUUC
Molecule: ribosomal RNA, 403 nt
Filed under: uncultured bacterium
Lineage: Bacteria
Description: partial 16S ribosomal RNA
Rfam family: Bacterial small subunit ribosomal RNA
Source: RNAcentral